Molecule: long non-coding RNA, 4106 nt
Filed under: Podarcis muralis (Common wall lizard)
Lineage: Eukaryota; Metazoa; Chordata; Lepidosauria; Squamata; Lacertidae
Description: lncRNA (ENSPMRG00000013669.1)
Source: RNAcentral
CAAAUGUAUGCCAUACGAAAACAGUAGUACUGCUCUUUUGACACACAGGGGAUUUCAGUUUUGGUAUUACCAGCUAUGCUGAAUUAUGGACUUGGGCAGCAGGAUACUUCAGUUGUGCGCACACAAGCGUACUCCUUUUUGCCCCAGUGUGCUUCUGUACAAUCCAGAUGCCCCAAGAGAAACACAGAAAUUACUUGCAUAGGAAGAAUCCCACGCACGGAAAGCCCAUUUAAGCAAAAAAGCCAGCGCUAGAGCUCUCGUCCAUCCUUAUUACAAAGGAUAGGAAGAGAACCGGAGGGAGAAGCGUCUGGGCGAGCGGGAAAGUAGCGAACAGCGGCCCCUGGGGGGCGACUCGCUGACGGGAAUUUGGGGGACGCGGCGCGCGAAUGGACAGAGCGGACGGGCGAACCAAAUUUCGGUCGCGGGGAGGAGGCUGGGACGGUGGUGGGACAAAGCGGCGAUAAGCAAGCAACUGCCCGAAGCAGUCCGGGCAGCGGAAUAAGCGGCGAGGUCGCCUCACGUGGGGCCACCUCAGGGGCAACAAAGCCUGACUUGGUUCAUAUGGCGGGAAAACAAAAGGCUGCCCCCCCUCGAGCGCGGGGCGAGAGCCAAGUACCUUUUCUCCGGUCACGACGUGCAGCCCUUCCCGCACUUUGGCGAAGGACCCCUCGCCCAACUUCCUUCCGAUCAGAGAGACUUGCAAAUGAGUUUCAACAAUAAUCAUGUGGCAUAUCACAGUUUACUUGAUGCAGUUGGGUCUCUGUGCGAUUCUCAUCACUAAUGAAGACACCAGAGAUUAACUGCUAAGGGAUUCAGUUAUCAAGAACAUGUUUUUAUUAUCAAAUGUGAAGACUUCUGAAUGCACGGAGGAAUCAAUAUACUUUGAAAUAAAGCCUGAUUAUUAAAUAAAGAGUAUAAAAACAAAUUUAAGGUGCAGAUGAGCACUGCUUCAUUUAGCUAUACUGUAUACGUGUUCAUUUGAUAUAUUCCAUUUUUAUAUAUCUGUUAUAUAUCUGCUCCUAAGAUGGAGCGGAUGUCACAAGGGACCCUGCAUGAGUUUGAUGGGCUCUGGACCAAUGGCCCCUCCAUUGCCUGCUCCCUCAGGUUCACAGCAUAGUGAGGGGGCAGACCUCUCAGUGUAUAAGGGUGUAUGAGGCAGCCAUUUUGGAGAGAGAAAUGAGGGAGAGAUCGGGAUGUUGAGGGUGAAAUGUGGAGGAUGCGGUUCAUUUAUGCAGGGCAGGGCUUACUUGCCCUCCCCCAAUGUUGUAUUCAAGUUGGCACCCUGGGUGGGUGGAACAGAGGGAGAGCACAACCCUUGAACCACCUUGUAAGUUGUUUUGAAUAUAUUCUCAAUGGUUUUAAAUAUAUAUUUACAAUAUGUGUUCCUGGGUAGAUUUUUAAAGGUAUUCCUCUUUAAAAUCAACCUGGAAAUAGGAUGCGACAGACUUAGGCCCAUCCUCUCUGAGAAUAAGGACAGUCUGAACUUCAGUGGGUGCCUAUGAUUGGACAUUGGGUUUGGGGCGAUUACAGAUGGCCCAAAUAUAUUGUGUGUCUGAUGAAGUGGGCUCUAGUCUGCAAAAGCUAAUGCCACCAUAAAUCUGUCUUGAAGAUGUCCUAAUACUUUUUGUUGGUUUUGUUGCAACAGCCUAACAUGGCUACCCUUCUGGAAUUUUCCCAUUGCAUGCUGAUUAUUAUAGCUGAACAUUUUCUAUGGUAGGAAAUUCCCCCGUUAUUUAUGUAUUUGUGCCUUUAUUUAUGCUAAUCAGAAGUGCCAGUUGACAUUUCACAUGCCGAGAGACUCAUCCUUAUCUUCUAAAUUUCCAUUUUGGUCUGCAUGCACACUUUCAUGAGAGAGCUAUUUUAAUCACAGCCCUCAAUUCACCUUCACUUCAACUUUUGAGCACAAGUUACCAAGACUGCCACACUGUGGUUUAUGGAGCAACGAGUCUGCAAACGUGUCUGAAGCAAAGCAAAGCAUUGCCAAAAGUGAUGCUAAUUCAUCACUGACUGCUGCCACUUCAACAAAAUGUUUACUCCUUGUCUACACUCUUGGCUCUUUGCUGACUCCUUGAUUUUCAGACAGACAGGGAUAUUUCUCUGAAGUGGCAACAGAUUUCAUUAUUAUUAAGGGAUGAUUUUUACAUAUCACUGAGAAACUUGAUUUCCUUACAGGAUAAUUGCAGCUUGCAGUUCAAUUUCUUUCUCUCUGAACUACUAAUUUCUCCUUAUUCUGUAUCUAUGAACAAACCAGUUCCUGUAAUUUACUUGAAUUGCAAACAAGGUUUGCAGAUGUUUUAAAUAUGUCUUGCCUAUCAUAUCAUCAUUUUCCUUUAUGUUUUAAAUAUAAAUUUAGUGACAGUUGCUUAUGUCAUAUAUAUAUAUAUAUCCCGAACAAAUAAGCUGUAACACAAAAUACACUACAGUAAUAUGGUAACUUGCACACAAACAAAUUAAAACACAAACGUACACACAUACACCAUGGAAGAAGAAGUUGACAUGCAGAAGGAACUUAUUUGUCACUGGUUAUAUUGCCAGCAUCAGAUUGCUCUAAUGCCUGCAUAUUAAAAUCCAAACAAAGAGCCAUGCAAAUUGCUGCCACUGGUUAGUUGCCUAGCAACUAUACAGUGAGUACUGAAAACAAAGUACUGUCAUACUACACUACCAUGCUGAGCUUGAAACAAAGCCUAUAGUAUGACUUGUGAAACACUAUAAAUCUGAAAUAUUUAAAAAGGUUGACCAAAAAGAAGAAAAAGAUAUUUUGAGACUCUCUUGAUUUUACAAAUUUUCCUCAAGGGAAUGGGCUCACAGGUAAUGCCAUGACAAAUACUGUAAUAAUUUAUGCCCUCCCAAAUGUGUUUAUCUUGAAGGUGCCACAAGACUCUUGUUUUGUUUUUUGCUGCAAAAGACUAAUGGAGUUACUUCUUUGGAAACUGUAAUAUGAGAAAGAUUUAGGGCUGUAGCUCACAUCUCCCAUCCAUGAUACCCCUGUCUACAGGCAGCAAGCAAACAAUAAUGCUAUGCUUGUACACCUAUUGUUUACUCCUGUUAUGUCUCUGGCUUUUUGUGCAGGUGUAAAAAUGGAGCCUUGUAUAUGCAUGUGGAAUUUUUGUUGUUCUUAAUGCUCCUAGGGAGGCUGUUGCAGGGGGAGGAUCAGACAAACCACAGUGAUCCUGUACGUGAUUAGAGCUUUAGCAUAUGCACAUUUAAAAACAACAACACAGUCUUAGGUCACUUCCAGACUCUUGCAUGGAUCUCUCACCCAUUUGGGGAGAUGCUGGAAUAUGUCCUUUGCACAAGAAAGGAUGCCUUCAUAAUCCACCCCCAAGAAAGCGGCUAUGUUGUGAUAAGGGAUUAAGGAGAACUUCAGUGUGGUUCACAUUUUAACAUGACCCAACCUAAUUUGCACUUCUAGAAACCAAAUGCAAACUGAAAUGCAGCUCUCCUUUGAGUUUCACAGUUGUCUGAAUUUUACGAUGUAGUUCUCCAGCUGAUAAAUGUGGAUAAAAAUGUGCAUAUUAGGGGAAGGUGUUCCUAAAAAUGCAUAUUAGGGGAAACUUGCAUUACGUUAAGAUAAGUUGCUUGUAAAAAUCUAUAUAGUAGGAAAAAUUGGGACUAAAAACGUUGACAUUUUUUCAUGAGAACUUAAAAAAACAUUCACAUACUGAUGUGAAGAUGUGGAGAACUGAACUGAACUGAAUCAAAGAGAAACCAAAAUUGAGAGGUUCAGCCACCACUGUGAUAAAGAGGAAUGGCACUGCAAUGGUGUAACAAAUUCACUUCCUCCCCAAAUUCACACUUUUUUGCACUAAGCAAAGUGAUGUGAAAAAGUGUGGGAUAACUACUGCAUGAAGGCAAUGUUCUAUAACCACUGCACCAUUUUUUAGUGCAAGGAUGAAUGUACAAUAGGUAGGUUGUCUGGAAUGUCCUUCUAUACAAAUACUCAGAAGGAAGGCACAUGAUGGCUGCAGGUAGGAAUAGAAUCUUGUGGCAUCCAGAGGUUUUGGGACUACAUUGACAAUGCUGGCUGGUGCUGAUGGGAGUUGGAGUCCAGCAACAUCUGGAGGUCCUCAGGCACCCCGCUCCUGCUCUAUACCAUCAGCUUUGAG